This 497-nucleotide ribosomal RNA is filed under the name uncultured bacterium. Its description in RNAcentral is "partial 16S ribosomal RNA". It matches the Rfam family "Bacterial small subunit ribosomal RNA", at positions 28 to 507 of the family's 1533-position model. The record is from RNAcentral.
GAUGAACGCUGGCGGCGUGCCUAAUACAUGCAAGUCGAGCGAACGGACGAGAAGCUUGCUUCUCUGAUGUUAGCGGCGGACGGGUGAGUAACACGUGGAUAACCUACCUAUAAGACUGGGAUAACUUCGGGAAACCGGAGCUAAUACCGGAUAAUAUUUUGAACCGCAUGGUUCAAAAGUGAAAGGCGGUCUUGCUGUCACUUAUAGAUGGAUCCGCGCUGCAUUAGCUAGUUGGUAAGGCAACGGCUUACCAAGGCAACGAUGCAUAGCCGACCUGAGAGGGUGAUCGGCCACACUGGAACUGAGACACGGUCCAGACUCCUACGGGAGGCAGCAGUAGGGAAUCUUCCGCAAUGGGCGAAAGCCUGACGGAGCAACGCCGCGUGAGUGAUGAAGGUCUUCGGAUCGUAAAACUCUGUUAUUAGGGAAGAACAUAUGUGUAAGUAACUGUGCACAUCUUGACGGUACCUAAUCAGAAAGCCACGGCUAACUACGUG